UGUUGCCUGGCUUGGAGACUCCCAGG
RNAcentral lists this unclassified non-coding RNA (26 nucleotides) under Mus musculus (house mouse). RNAcentral's name for it is "oocyte_clustered_small_RNA9220". The record is from RNAcentral. Lineage: Eukaryota; Metazoa; Chordata; Mammalia; Rodentia; Muridae.